RNAcentral lists this unclassified non-coding RNA (211 nucleotides) under plant metagenome. Its description in RNAcentral is "partial contains small subunit ribosomal RNA and internal transcribed spacer 1". The stretch from base 1 to 46 matches the Rfam family "Eukaryotic small subunit ribosomal RNA", at positions 1786 to 1831 of the family's 1831-position model. The record is from RNAcentral.
AAGUCGUAACAGGGUUUCCGUAGGUGAACCUGCGGAAGGAUCAUUACAGAGUUCCUGCCCUUACGGGUAGAUCUCCACCCUUGCAUACCUUACACUUGUUGCUUUGGCAGGCCGAUCUCCGGACCGCUGGCGCUUCGCUAGCGAGUGCCUGCCAGAGAACCACAAACCAAACAUGUAUUAGUUUCGUCCGAGUACUAUAUAAUAGUUAAAA